RNAcentral lists this ribosomal RNA (253 nucleotides) under uncultured prokaryote. Its description in RNAcentral is "partial 16S ribosomal RNA". It matches the Rfam family "Bacterial small subunit ribosomal RNA", at positions 525 to 777 of the family's 1533-position model. The record is from RNAcentral.
ACGAAGGUGGCAAGCGUUGUUCGGAUUUACUGGGCGUACAGGGAGCGUAGGCGGUUGGGUAAGCCCUUCGUGAAAUCUCCGGGCCUAACCCGGAAAGUGCGGAGGGGACUGCUCGGCUAGAGGAUGGGAGAGGAGCGCGGAAUUCCCGGUGUAGCGGUGAAAUGCGUAGAGAUCGGGAGGAAGGCCGGUGGCGAAGGCAGCCCCCUGGGCUGACACUGACGCUCAGGCACGAAAGCGUGGGGAGCAAACAGGA